RNAcentral lists this long non-coding RNA (1219 nucleotides) under Mytilus galloprovincialis (Mediterranean mussel). Lineage: Eukaryota; Metazoa; Mollusca; Bivalvia; Mytilida; Mytilidae. The record is from RNAcentral.
ACUACUGACACAGAUAAUCAUUUCUCACAAAUAAAGUUGUGAAAAAACUAUGAUCAUUUAGAUACUCUUGAUGGCUCAACCAAGCAUUUGAUAGAUUGUGGUUUAUAAAGCUAUAUAGUUUAGAACUAACAUCUAACUUUUGUGUUCAGUCAAACUCUUCUUUGGUUUUCCUUCUCUAAAAUAGAAUAUUUGUCACCUAUAUAGCUGUUAAUAAGCUGACCAAAUAAAAGUACACAGGUACUUAUAAUUAGAAUUUAGUUUUUAAUAUACUAUAUCAUCCUUGAAAAUAAUUCAGAAGGGGCUUGCUGUAUUCUCCAACUGAAACAACAGUUAAUAAAAACUAGGUAAAACUAGAUAAUGAUUAAAAAAAGUAUUUUGUACUAAGUAAAUGUUUGUUGUAUUAUUUAACUUUUUUUUUAAAUACGAACAUAUAUAAAGUCAUGGUCAACAUUUCCAAGUUUCUUCUGAAAAUAUGAAGAAAGUUUGCAUUGAAAAAAUACAUGAUUAAUAUUUUAGUGUUUCUAAAAAUUGAAAUGUCUUAUAUGUUAGUAAAAUGUGAUUUUCUUAUCCACUACAUUACUGGGACCAUAGAUGUAGGUAUUUUAAAUGAGCACAAUAUAUUAUAUGUUCCUGAUGAAAAGUUAUUAAUAACAGAGGGUUGAUUAUUCUUAAUAUUAUUUCUGUUUGUUUUUCUUACAAUGCCAAACACUUGUCAUGCUAUUCUAAAAUGUUGAAAGAAAUUGUCCUUACUAUAUGCAAUUGCUGCAGCAAAUUCAAAUUUGUCCUUUUUAGAAUAGAAAGCAUUUUUGGUAAUAUUUUCAAACUGCAACUUAAAAUUUUCGAUUGGUUUUCAAUGAUCUAACAAGAUAUUCAACCAAAGGUGUGUUACUAUUUUAUAGAUUUUUGUGUGUAAGAACGCUGGAAUAUUUACAUGCUAAAAUGAUAAAUUAAUUUGAUGAUAAAAGAUAGAUACAAAAUAAAUCCUCUUGAUCACAAUGUCUUCUUGUUGUGUGAUACUUUGCAAACUUUUUAUAAAAACUAACAAUUGUAUUUAGAUAUUUGCUGAUAUCAGUAUGUGAUAUCUUGUCUUAAACUCUUUCUCUUCUCAACUGAUGCAUGACGCUUAUAAGAAAUAUUAAAUCAACAGUUGAUGGAGGUUUAAUAAAAAAAGAUUAUAUUCUAAGGCAUUAUUUUCUCUACGAAAAUUUACUGUUAUAAA